UAUCCUAUGCGACUGCAUAGAUGAAAUAUUUUUGGCCUUUACACUCUUGGAUACCCUGCAUGUGACCGCAUGGCAUUACCACUAUGCGGUCGCAUAGUAGUUGAGACUUCCAACAAUUUCCCUUUUGGUCCUCAAACUUGUUUUCUUCAAUUUUUUACCUCGUUCCUUCAUUCUUUUCAUUCCAUACAUCAAUAGUGGCCUCCAAUUGGUACUUGGAUCAAUCAAAUCCUUGAUUACUCCUCCAAUUCAUCUUUUGGAUAAUUUCACUUUAGUCCCUAAACUUUUGUUUUCUUUCAUGUUGGUCCUUUUUCUUUUCUUUCUUCCUUUGAUCAUUUCAUAUUAUUCCCAAGUUGAUUAUGCUCUUGAUUCACCUUUUAGUUCAACUUUUGGUUAUUUGCACUUUAGUCCUUGAACUUUUAUUUUCUUUCAUUUUGGCCCGUUUCUCUAAUCUUUUCUCUUGAAUACCGUCACAUCCAUCAAGAUACUCCUACAAAACAAGAUAAUAGAGUUAAGCCAUAUUUCAUUAUAUUUAUCGCGAAAUAGUCAUGUUUUGUGGCUUGAAUAAGUGUGUAAAAACACACUUAUCAACAACAACAAUUGAAGUGUGUGUUCUUAUUUAACAAAAACUAUUUGAUUCAAUAGAAAGGGAUUUUCCAACCUCUAUGAAUGGAAAUUAGAAGGUUGACACAAAUGAAUUUUCUUACACCUCAAUCGUUUUGCAUCUAUCCGACCAAGUACUUAGAGAAAAGGAAAAUUAGAUUUAACUAAGCUUCUUUGGAAAAAUAUAAAAAAAAAAAGUUAUACUUUGAUCAAGUCCCUACCAGACUUGUUGUAGUUAGAAAAGAUUAUUGUGUUGUAAUUUGUAAAUCGAACAAAACAAAACAGAAUAAUAACAAGAUCAGAAACAUAAGAUUUUUCAGCCUAAAGGUCCCGAGGCUCGGCGACCGCUUCAAAUGCCUAAUUCUCGUUGAGCAUUCGUUAGGAUUAAGCUCAAAAUCCACUAUGAACUGCCCAAAAAUUGGCAAAAAUGUCAGAUUACAAGAAUACACAGUUCUAACACUCUCGUAAGCACAUGAUCUUCUCAUAUCAUCCAAGAUUCACACAAAAGUUCAAUAUAACAAUAUCUAUACUCUCAAAAAUCACACAAGAAAAAUGGAAGAUUUUCAGAUUUUACAGAGAAGAUGAAAAGAACGAGAGAGGAGCAGCCAGAAAGUCAGAGAGAGUAAAACCUAGAGACACCAUUGCCUUUUAUAAGAGAGAGUCUUGCAUUUGAUCCAAUGGUCUAAAGAGUACCACUUGUCUAUCAUCUAGAAGAGGUGUCAUUUGAAACAGAAAACGCGUUUCAGUUCAAGAGCUGGUUUCCACAUUUUAGAGAUUUCUUCAUACUGGAUCAUCAAAUUGGGCCUCCAAAUUUGGACCUCACAUUUCAGUCCAUUUAAAUCAACUGGGCCACACACAAACCAUUCUUUACAAUCUCCACCUUUUGCUGCAUUUUGUGACAGUACAUAAGUGGAUUCAAGAACUUAAUCUAACUUCAUUUGCUCUCAACACUUGCAAAGAAAAGUUAGUAUUUUUCAAGAUUAAUUAAUCUCAAAGAAUCAAAAAACUUACUAAUAGGGAUUACCUUGGUUCCAGCAUCUGCAGGGUUUACCUUAGUAGGUAUUUUAACCAGUUUAAUGUCAACCCUAUAAAUAAUAUCUCUAAUGAAAUGGAAUUUAACAUCUAUAUGCUUGGAUCUAUCAUGUAAAAUAGGAUUUUUACUUUGAAUUAUUGCAUUUUGGUUAUCAGAACAUAGCUUCACCUGAUUUUCUAUAAGACCUAAUUUACCUAACAGGCCUUUCAACAAUAACCCUUCCUUCACUCUCUCAGUUGCAGCAAUGUAUUCAGCCUCCGUUGAAGACAAUGCAACCAGUUUUGAAGUUGGGACUUCCAGCUAAUGCAUGUAUCAUUAAUGACAUAAAAAUAAGCCUUUGAGGAUUCCUUGUUAUCUGGAUUUCCAACAAAAUCUGAGUCUAUAUGACCCUUUAGUUUAAGUCCAUUUUUUUCAGUUUUAAACAUUAAUCCUAAUUGACUAGUCCUUUCAGAUACUUGAUCAGAUUUUUCAUACAUUGUCAAUGUAAUUCACCUGGAUUACUCAUAAAUCUGCUUAUCACACUCAUACCAUAAACAAUAUCAUGUCUAAAGCAUACCAUAACAUACAUUACAGAUCCAAUAGCAUUAGACUAUUGAACAUUCAUUAUUCUUUUAUAUUUAUCUUCAGAUUUGGGUGAAUGAUCAAUAGAUAAUUUUGUAGCAGUAGACAAUGAUAGACUAAUAGGCUUAGCAUCAUGAAGAGAAAAUCUUUUAACUACUUUAUCAACACAAGAUUUUUGUGUUGGAAACAGCUUUCCAUUUAUUCUAUCCCUUUUUAUUUCCAUGCCCAAUAUUUUUCUAGCUGAUCCUAAAUCUUUCAUUUCAAAUUCAGAUUUCAAUUGUUCCUUAAUUCAGUUAAGUAUAACAAAAUUAUGUCCAGCAAGGAGCGCAUCAUCUACAUAUAAGAGAAGAUAAAAAGAUUCAAAUUCUCCAUCUCUCUUAAAGUAAAAAUACGGAUCAUAAUCGGAUUUCUUAAAGUCCAGCCAUUGUAUAAAAGAGUCAAAUCUCUUAUACCACUGCCUAAGGGCCUGUUUCAAGCCUUGCAAUAAUUUUUUCAAGAGAUACACAAAGUUUCCCUUUUCUUUUACCUCAAACCCUCUUGGCUGAGUCAUAUAUAUGGUUUCAUCAAAUGAACCAUACAAGAAGACAGUUUUCACAUCAAGUUGUUCUAACUCUAAGUCAAAUUGUGUAACAAUAGCAAGUAAUAUCUUGAUUGAUGUAUAUUUGACAACUGCUGAAAAGAUUUUAGUGUAGUCUAUCCCUUCUCUUUGUGUGAAGCCUUUUGCUACAACUCUUGCAUUAAACCUCUUAUUUUAGUGUAGUCUACCCUCUUUGACCUUGUAAACCCAUUUACAAUCAAUCAAUUUACAUUCUUUAGGUUUUUCAACUAAGAUCUAGGUUUCAUUUUUAUAGAGGGAGUUUAUUUCAUCUUUCAUCGCUGCAAUCCACUUAGAGGAUUCUUUGCAAGAAAUAGCUUUUUUAUAAAAAAAGUGGGUUCUAUGUCAAAUAGAUUAGGCUCAGAUUGUGCAGACACAAAAUCAGUAUACUAAUAUCUGGAAGGAGGUCUUAUUUGCCUCCUUUCUGUAUCUCUAGCAAGCUGGUAGUCUUACAGGUCAUGUACUGGCUCCAGAUGCGAUUCAUCUUCCAAUAUUUCAACAUCAGACACAUUCUGUGGUUCUAUUUCUUGAGGCUCCACUCAAACUAAGGCUGGUUAUUCAAAAUCUUCCUAUUCAGGUUUAUUUCAGUGAUAACAUAGUCAUCUUUUCCCAAAUUUUCUCUAGAUUUGUCACUAAGACAAAGGAAAUCAUCUUUAUUAAAGAUUACAGAUCUACUUAUUAUAACUUAAAAGCCCCUCGCAUCUCUUAACCACAAUCUAUAGCCUUUGACUCCUUCUCCAUAUCCUAAAAUCACACCCUUCAAUGAUCUAGGGUCCAGUUUUGAAUCUAUGUGAUGUGCAUAAGAUGCACAUCCAAAGGUUCUAAGGUAGGAAUAGUCUGGCAUUGUGCCUGGCCAGAUUUGUUCAUGAAUUUUAUUAUUUAGUGAACUGGAGAGACAUCUAUGAAUCAAAUAACAUGCAGUUUUUACUACUUUUCCACAAAAAAAAAAGUUUGGAAGGUCAGAGCUAUCAACAUUCAUCUAGUCUUUUCAAGAAUGGUUCUAUUUAGUCUCUCAGUAAAUCAAUUUUGCUGAGGAGUAUAACUCAUAGUUUUAUGUCUCAUAAUCCCUUGUUUAUUACAAAAUUGAUCAAAUUCUAAAUUGCAAAAUUCAACGCCAUUGUCAGUUCUUAAAAAUUAUAUCUUCUUACCUGUCCGAUUUUCAAUUAGCACAUUCUAUUCCUGAAAAGUUACAAAAGUAUUAGAUUUUGAUUUCAAUAAGAAAAUCCAAGUUUUCCUUGAAUAAUCAUCAGUGAUAAAAAGAUAAUAUCUGUAUCUAGAUACUCUAGGCACAGGGGCAUGUAACCAUAAAUCAGAAUGUGUGUAUUCAAGGAUACUUUGGGACUUAUACAACCCUACCUUAAAUGGCAGUCUCACUUGUUUUCCCAUCAUGCAGUGUUCACAAAAUGUUAAUUUUUGAACACUAUCUUUUCCAAAUACCUCUUGCUGUGACAAAGUUUUAAAACCUUUUUCACUCAGAUGACCAAGUCUUUUAUGCCAUAAUUUUGAUUUAUCGGGAUGUGUGACAAGAUUCACAGCGUUAUUUGGUAAAAUGAUUUCUGCUUCUAUUACAUAAAUUCCAUUGAGCUUAGGUAAACAAUCAAUAAGUUCUUGAUUUCUUGUAAUAUUUGUAGAACCAUUCUUUAUUUCAAUUUUAUAAUUUUCAUCAUCAAGAACUCCCAGGGAUAUGAGGUUUCUCCUAAGUGUUGGCACGCAUCUAGUGUGUUUCAACAAUAUGUGAUGACCAUUUCCAAGUUUCAGUAACACAUUACCAAUACCCUUAACUUGACAUGACUCAUCAUUCCCAAGUUUCAUAGACCAUCCAUCAAGACUAGAAUAGUUAGUAAGAUAGCCAAUAUUGGGUGUCAUAUGAAAGGAAAAUCCAGAGUCUAAGACACAAACCUGAUCAUAACUUUCUAUUAUUGACACAUAUGCAACUCCAAUAUUGGCUCAUGUUUCUUUAUAGUUAGGAACAAUGGCCAAUGAAGCAUUUUUUGAAUUAGCCUCUUUCUUUUGGUCAUUAGCCUUUUUAAAGCAGUUCUUAAUGAAGUGCCCAGUUUUUCCUCAAUAAAAGCACUUCUUGUUAUUUGUCUUUCCUUAAUUAGGUUUCUUGUCCUUUCCUUUGGUGUUACUCCAUUUCUUUUUGACAAAAAAAUUUAUUCUUGUUAUAAUUGGAAUGACUAAAGUUGCUCACACCUUUAACAUCUGUUCUUUGUUUUGGUGACACAACCUUCACAUUGAACACCUCUUUGUGUUCAGAUUUAAAUUCCAGUUCUCUAUUUAGAAUAGAACUGUGAAUUAUUUCUACAGUUAGUUCAUUUCUUCUAUACUCUAGAGCAUUUCUUAUCUCUUUAUACUUAUCUCCUAAAGCGUUAAGUAGACCAACUAACUUUUGCUCAUAUGAGAUUUUCUCACUACAGUUUAUUACGUUGUGUGUGAUCCUAUUAAAUCUAUCCAUAUUAUCUUCUGUAUCAAGAGUAGAAUCAAACUUAAAAUUGAAAAACUGUCUCAAAAAAAAAAUUAUUUGGUAAAGAUUUAGUGAGAUAUUGCUUUUCUAAGGCUAUACAUAAUUUUACAGCAGUCUUAGUCUCUCUUACUUUCCUAAACACAGAAUCAGAUAAGUGCAGAAACAUAGUGCUCCAGGCCAGUUCAUCUUGUUUAGUUUUCCUAUUCUCAGCUAUACCUUCUGGCCAAGAUUCAUCAAUGGCCUUAGCGCACUUUAACUGUAACAUAAGGGCCUUAAUUUUCUGGUGCCAAAAACUGAAGUCUCUUUUGCCGUCCCACAUUUGGACAUCUACCUUAGAAGUCAUGGUGUAUAGUAGUUUGAACAAUAUAUAUAAGCAGAUAUGAAAUAGCCAGCAAUAUAUCACGGUGAUAUAGUAACGAUCAAUUAUUCCAAAUUCACAGUAUUUAUAUACAAGGAUAAUAUACAAAAUUUCCAAGCACACAAUGGAGUUCAGGGUCAAAUUAAACUUAUACUAGGUAAGCUACCAAAAAGAUAAGUGCACUACAUAUACCUUCAAGAAGCACUGUCUUAGUCAAUCAGUAUUUUCAGUCCUUUCCUGAAUAAAUGAAUUUUUGAGCAUCAGUAUAAUCAACAGUAUAUACAGCAGUAUAUGUGCAAAGAAAAAUAUUUUGGAAUAUCUCAAUGUCCUCACAAUAACCGAAUAUGUAUUUAAAAAAUAAUAAUCUUGAAAAGAAUGAAGUUUCUUGAAUCGAAGCCCUAGUCCCCUCAGAUUCUAGGGUUCUCACAAGGACCCCUAGACAAAGGUAGAUUUAGGAAAGAUUCAGAGAAACUCUAUCUUUGAAAAACUAUCGGUUACCAAGAUUUUGUAAAGACGCAAUUAUUUUCAAAAGACGAUACUCAGAAACACCAAGAACCCAACCAUGUAUUAGAAGAACCACUUAAAAAAUUUCAAGAAUCAAAAGGCAGAAUAAUAGAUCUCCACAGAUCUAAGUGUUCGAUCAAAAAACCCAGAAGCUCAAAACACAACACAAAUCAGAAUUUCUAAAGCUCUAAUACUACUGUUGUAAUUAGAAAAGAUAUUUGUGUUGUAAUUUGUAAAUCGAACACAACAAAAUAGAUUAAUAACAAGAUCAGAAACACAAGAUUUUUCGGCCCAAAGGCCCCGAGGUUCGGCGAUAGUUUCAAACACCUAAUCCUCGUUGACUAUCCGUUAGGAUUAAGCUCAAAAUCCACAAUGAACUGCCCAAAAAAAAAGCAAAAAUGUCAUAUUACAAGAACACAUAGUUCUAACACUCUCGCAAGCACAAGAUCUUCUCACAUCAUCUAGAACUCACACAAGAGUUCACUAUAACACCAUCUAUACUCUCAAAAAUCACACAAGAAAAAUGAGAGGUUUUCAGAUUCUACAAAGAAGAGGAAAAGAACGAG
Molecule: long non-coding RNA, 6681 nt
Filed under: Olea europaea (common olive)
Lineage: Eukaryota; Viridiplantae; Streptophyta; Magnoliopsida; Lamiales; Oleaceae
Description: long non-coding RNA (OEUR_LNC001453)
Source: RNAcentral